GGGGCCGUAGCUCAACUGGUUAGAGUACCGGACUGUCGAUCCGGACGUUGCGGGUUCGAAUCCCGUCGGCCUCG
RNAcentral lists this transfer RNA (74 nucleotides) under Pirellulales bacterium. RNAcentral describes it as "tRNA-Asp". It matches the Rfam family "tRNA". From Rfam's summary of the family: Transfer RNA (tRNA) molecules are approximately 80 nucleotides in length. Lineage: Bacteria; Pseudomonadati; Planctomycetota; Planctomycetia; Pirellulales. The record is from RNAcentral.